UGGUUUUUGUUUUUUUAUAUUAUAGCACCUCCCUUCUAAGGAGGCGGUCAAAGGUUCGAAUCCUUUAGGGCUCACCA
RNAcentral lists this transfer RNA (77 nucleotides) under Flavobacteriales bacterium 32-35-8. RNAcentral describes it as "tRNA-Arg". It matches the Rfam family "tRNA", at positions 16 to 71 of the family's 71-position model. Rfam says of the family: Transfer RNA (tRNA) molecules are approximately 80 nucleotides in length. Their secondary structure includes four short double-helical elements and three loops (D, anti-codon, and T loops). The record is from RNAcentral. Lineage: Bacteria; Pseudomonadati; Bacteroidota; Flavobacteriia; Flavobacteriales.